This 580-nucleotide ribosomal RNA is filed under the name Rhodotorula sp. QN2. RNAcentral describes it as "eukaryotic LSU rRNA". The stretch from base 140 to 293 matches the Rfam family "5.8S ribosomal RNA". Lineage: Eukaryota; Fungi; Basidiomycota; Microbotryomycetes; Sporidiobolales; Sporidiobolaceae. The record is from RNAcentral.
GACGUCCACUUACUUGGAGUCCGACUCUCACUUUCUACCCUGUGCACUUGUUUGGGAUAGUAACUCUCGCAAGAGAGCGAACUCCUAUUCACUUAUAAACACAAAGUCUAUGAAUGUAUUAAAUUUUAUAACAAAAUAAAACUUUCAACAACGGAUCUCUUGGCUCUCGCAUCGAUGAAGAACGCAGCGAAAUGCGAUAAGUAAUGUGAAUUGCAGAAUUCAGUGAAUCAUCGAAUCUUUGAACGCACCUUGCGCUCCAUGGUAUUCCGUGGAGCAUGCCUGUUUGAGUGUCAUGAAUACUUCAACCCUCCUCUUUCUUAAUGAUUGAAGAGGUGUUUGGUUUCUGAGCGCUGCUGGCCUUUACGGUCUAGCUCGUUCGUAAUGCAUUAGCAUCCGCAAUCGAACUUCGGAUUGACUUGGCGUAAUAGACUAUUCGCUGAGGAAUUCUAGUCUUCGGAUUAGAGCCGGGUUGGGUUUAAAGGAAGCUUCUAAUCAGAAUGUCUACAUUUUAAGAUUAGAUCUCAAAUCAGGUAGGACUACCCGCUGAACUUAAGCAUCAAUAUAAAAGGCCGGGAAGGGA